Gopherus flavomarginatus (Mexican gopher tortoise) is the source of this 716-nucleotide long non-coding RNA. RefSeq lists it as uncharacterized. The transcript has 4 exons. Lineage: Eukaryota; Metazoa; Chordata; Testudines; Testudinidae. The record is from RefSeq and is a predicted model, not a curated record.
CCUUGUCUACACUACAAAGUUGCAGCGCUGGUGAGGGGGUUACAGCGCUGCAACUUAGGAUGUGUACACAUCUGCAGGGCAUUACCAGCGCUGCAACUCCCUGUUUGCAGCGCUGGCCGUACACCCGGUCGUGCCUUGGGUGUAGAGGAUCCAGUGCUGGAUCACCAGCGCUGGUCAUCAGGUGUAGACACUCACCAGCGUUUUUGUUGACCUCCGUGGAAUAAGCAGGUAUCCCAGCAUACCUGAGGAAGCCUCUCUGGUAAUCAAGCAAACUCCACUGCUCUCCAAGCAGGUCUCCUUCCCCGCGGUGUGCUCUGGCGUUCCCCGACCCCCCCUCCAAGCAGGUCUCCUUCCCCGCGGUUUGCUCUGGCGUUCCCCGAUCCCCCCUCCAAGCAGGUCUCCUUCCCCGCGGUGUGCUCUGGCGUUCCCCGCCCCCCCCUCCAAGCAGGUCUCCUUCCCCGCGGUGUGCUCUGGCGUUCCCCGACCCCCCCUCCAAGCAGGUAUCCAGCCCCGCGGUGUGCUCUGGCGUUCCCCGACCCCCCCUCCAAGCAGGUCUCCUUCCCCGCGGUGUGCUCUGGCGUUCCCCGACCCCCCCCUCCAAGCAGGUCUCCUUCCCCGCGGUGUGCUCUGGCGUUCCCCGACCCCCCCCCUCCAAGCAGGUCUCCUUCCCCGCGGUGUGCAACAGCACUGCAGCGUGGCCACAUCUAACACCACUU